GAGCACAUGGGUGUGCACCGCGCAGGGGCUGAGGCUGGGAGCCGUAGUCAGGGGCACCGGGUGGGCUUUGGCGGCGGGUCGACCUGCCUUUCAGGUGCCGGGGGUUUGGGAGCAGGGGAACGGGCCCUGGGCGGAUUCCUGACCGCCCCCUUCGCGCCCCUCCCCCUCUCACUUUCGCUUUCCCCGCCUGCCCCAACCCUCGCCCCCGGGCGCUCGGCCGCUCCCACCUGUCACCCCCAUGCAGACCGAGGCUCUGUCCUGGAGGCGGGGAGCGGGCUGGUGGAUGCUGCCUCUCCGCCUCCAGUGUGCUCUUUGGCUGAGGGACUGGUGGGCGCUGGAAAUAUUAGAGGCGCCGGUGCCUGUGAUGUCGCCGCCUCUGUGACGUCCCCGCCGCGACCCCACAGGCAGGGAGCCGCAUUUAGGUUUCGGGCGGGCGGACGGGGGACGGCCCGAGUGAGGCGUCCUCCGAAGGCUGCGGGCCCGAAGCCAGAACUCCUUCCUCUCCGAAGACCUCGGGGGUGGGGCUCGCGCUUCCGCAGCGGGCCUAGAGCGAGAGGCAGGCGGCAGGUAAGCCUGGCUGUGCUGGACAGGACUUGCACCCGCUCUGCACGCCAGCGGCUCAGGGCUGCCGCCCUUUUCGUGGUCCCAGGGCCCUUCCAAGAACCGGCUAAACCAACCCAAGCCGCGCGCACACACACUUGUGCACACAGGGAGUGUGGAGCCAGAUUCGAUAAGGCACCCCGUGUGCCCCAGCUCCAUGACCAAGGAACUCAGCACCCCGUGUGCCCCAGCUCCAUGACCAAGGAACUCAGCACCCCGUGUGCCCCAGCUCCAUGACCAAGGAACUCAGCCCACAAAGGCAUCCCUGGCCCCAUGCAGGGCUCAGGAGGCAGCGGAAAGGGUUAAGAGUCCAGGCCUCAAGGACAGGAGGGGAGGGUGGAGGGCCUGUGGUGUGCAUCCGGCAUCCCUGGAUGGUCAGGGCCCAGAACCCAUCCCUAUUUCCCUUCUGGUGGUAGGGGGCUGCCUAACUUGGGCAGUGGCACAAAGCAUGCAGGCUUUGUUGUCCUCCUCCUCCACCCCUCAGCCUGGCAUAUUUUGGCGAGGGACUUCCCUGAUGCCACCGGGCAAGGUAUCUUGCCUAACUGGUCUGAAUGACUAGCCCAGCGUUGGGACUAGAAGCAGCCACUGGGAGGAGUGGUGGGAAAGCAGCCCCACUCAAGGGCUGAAACAGUCCUUGUCCAAAACAAGGGGGACUUGAAAAGAUCUCAGCAAGAAGGCAAAGAGAGGCAGCUGUUAGGGUCGUGAGGUUCAGCAGGCCGGCAGGCAAGAGAGAGGACACCGAUGGCCUGGAAACAUUUGUCAUCACCCCAAACUUUAUUGCUUACAAAGAGUUCUCUACAACCCAGACUCUGCAGUACCAAGGCUGCAGUUCUUUAUGUGCUGGGGGCCGGGGCUCUCUCCCCGGGAGCAGUCUGACUCAAUGUGGACAGCUGGACAAAGGCUGUCUUGGCAAGAUGUGGGAAUGAGCUUCUCCCACGGAGUCUCGGCGUCCCCUGCCCCAGGAGGUUGAGGCUAGCAGACACCCCCUGACGAUUCACAGCUGAUUUAAUGCUACGGAGAGGCUGUCGAUGCUGAGGCACGAGAGAAUUUGCUCCUGCUCCUCCAGAGAAAAUGGCUGGGACAGGCUGUUGAGGAAUAAUUCUGCAGGGAAAAGUGGAAGAUGGCUGUGAAAGACUGGGAGGAGGCUGGCUGUGUUUUCAGGGGUUCUUCCUGCACAGUCGGUAGAAGCUGAGCUGCUGGGGAAGGGGCUGGAAGAAAGCCCACACCGCAGCUGCUGCAGUUCCUGCUCCGGGACGGUUGCUUUCCGCUCUGGUGAGCUGGGGUUUCUGGCAGGGGCUGGCUCCAGGGAGGACAGAGGUAAGGGUUCCCACAUCCCAGACUCCUCCUUGCUCAAAGUCAAGGGAGGAGACUUGUUUGGCUCUGGGGGCUCUGGUGGGAGAGGAGGCUGGAGCUUAGGGGCUCUGCCUGUUGUCUCCUCAGCUGGCCGGGGCCCUGGGGCCCUUGGCGAAAGCUCUCUCGGCUGGGCAUGGAGGGUCUGGUGGUAAUUGGCUUGAUUUGGCGGUGGAUGUCUUGGUUCUUUAUAUUCUCCCCUCCAAGGGCUCUUCAGACCUCCCACUAGAAAACAGAGAGUACAAUGGUGAGGGGAAGCGUGCUGUGCACAGACAGCGGUCCAGGCAGGAGCGGCCUCUCCUGAGUGCAGAAGGGCUAGAGGCAAACAAAGGGGAGGACACUGCCCCGGGCCACCAUGGGAGGUGGCUCCAGAGGGCAGCAUGGUGGUCUCCACAGGAGACUUCCUCAAUAAAAUGGUCCCAAUAUGACAGGGAUAGGACUGGAUUUCUGUCUUUGAUUCUGUUUUUCUUCUAGGUAUCAGUAGCAAAUUCAAAAACUACAGAAUCAGCUCCAGAGGACUUUGUU
This is a long non-coding RNA of Homo sapiens (human), 2475 nucleotides long. Ensembl annotates it as MAP3K14 antisense RNA 1. Its record names the gene MAP3K14-AS1. The record is from Ensembl. Lineage: Eukaryota; Metazoa; Chordata; Mammalia; Primates; Hominidae.